Molecule: ribosomal RNA, 561 nt
Filed under: Podospora fibrinocaudata
Lineage: Eukaryota; Fungi; Ascomycota; Sordariomycetes; Sordariales; Podosporaceae
Description: partial 28S ribosomal RNA
Rfam family: Eukaryotic large subunit ribosomal RNA
Source: RNAcentral
GCAUAUCAAUAAGCGGAGGAAAAGAAACCAACAGGGAUUGCCUCAGUAACGGCGAGUGAAGCGGCAACAGCUCAAAUUUGAAAUCUGGCUUCGGCCCGAGUUGUAAUUUGUAGAGGAAGAUUCUGGUAAGGCACCAUCUGAGUCCCCUGGAACGGGGCGCCAUAGAGGGUGAGAGCCCCGUAUAGUUGGAUGCCGAGCCUCUGUGAAUCUCCUUCGACGAGUCGAGUAGUUUGGGAAUGCUGCUCUAAAUGGGAGGUAAAUUUCUUCUAAAGCUAAAUAUAGGCCAGAGACCGAUAGCGCACAAGUAGAGUGAUCGAAAGAUGAAAAGCACUUUGAAAAGAGGGUUAAACAGCACGUGAAAUUGUUGAAAGGGAAGCGCUUAUGACCAGACUUGCGCCGUGCGGAUCAUCCGGUGUUCUCACCGGUGCACUCCGCGCGGCUCAGGCCAGCAUCGGUUCUCGUGGGGGGAUAAAGGCUCAGGGAACGUAGCUCCUCCGGGAGUGUUAUAGCCCUGGGUGCAAUGCCCUCGUGGGGACCGAGGUUCGCGCUUCUGCAAGGAUG